UACGUAGGGGGCAAGCGUUGUCCGGAUUUAUUGGGCGUAAAGAGCGUGUAGGCGGUUUGGUAGGUCCGUUGUGAAAACUCGAGGCUCAACCUCGAGACGCCGAUGGAAACCAUCAGACUAGAGUCCGGAAGAGGAGAGUGGAAUUCCUGGUGUAGCGGUGAAAUGCGCAGAUAUCAGGAAGAACACCCGUGGCUAAGGCGGUUCUCUGGGACGGUACUGACGCUGAGACGCGAAAGCGUGGGGAGCGAACAGG
Molecule: ribosomal RNA, 253 nt
Filed under: uncultured bacterium
Lineage: Bacteria
Description: partial 16S ribosomal RNA
Rfam family: Bacterial small subunit ribosomal RNA
Source: RNAcentral